GGAGGCUACCGCUAUUGGAAUCCGAUUAAGCCAUGCGAGUCGAGAGACCUCGGGUCUCGGCAGACGUCUCAGUAACACGUGGAUAAUCUACCCUUGAGUGGGGGAUAAGCUUGGAAACCUGAGUAUAAUACCCCAUAGGCCUAGGAUGCUGGAAUGCUUCUAGGCUAAAAGCUCCGGCGCUCAAGGAUGAGUCUGCGACCUAUCAGGCUGUAGUGGGUGUAACGGACCCACUAACCUUCGACGGGUACGGGCCUUGAGAGAGGUUGCCCGGAGUUGGACUCUUAGACACGAGUCCAGGCCCUACGGGGUGCAGCAGGCGCGAAAACUUCACAAUGUGGGAAACCACGAUGAGGGGAUUCCAAGUGCCAGCACACUGUGUUGGCUGUUCAUCUGCCUAAAAAGCUGGUGAAGUAAGGGCCGGGUAAGACGGGUGCCAGCCGCCGCGGUAAUACCCGCGGCCCGAGUGGUGGUCGUUAUUAUUGAGCCUAAAGCGUCCGUAGCCGGUUCAGUAAAUCUCUGGGUAAAUCGGGCAGCUUAACCGUCCGAAUUCCGGAAAGACUGCUGGACUUGGGACCGGGGGAGGUUGGAGGUACUCCUGGGGUAGGGGUGAAAUCCUGUAAUCCUGGGGGGACCACCAGUGGCGAAGGCGUCCAACCAAAACGGCUCCGACGGUAAGGGACGAAGCCCUGGGGCGCAAACGGGAUUAGAUACCCCGGUAGUCCAGGGUGUAAACGCUGCAGGUUUGGUGUUGGGGGUCCUACGAAGGCGCCCAGUGCCGGAGAGAAGUUGUUAAANCCUGCCGCUUGGGGAGUACGUCCGCAAGGAUGAACUUUAA
RNAcentral lists this ribosomal RNA (835 nucleotides) under uncultured archaeon. RNAcentral's name for it is "bacterial SSU rRNA". It matches the Rfam family "Archaeal small subunit ribosomal RNA", at positions 19 to 859 of the family's 1478-position model. The record is from RNAcentral.